This is a long non-coding RNA of Cyprinus carpio carpio, 857 nucleotides long. The record is from Ensembl. Lineage: Eukaryota; Metazoa; Chordata; Actinopteri; Cypriniformes; Cyprinidae.
AAUGAAUAUGCUUAUAAUAGAGUACAGCAGACUUUUAUAAAUAUGUUCUGGUCAAGCUCAGGCUCUUAUUACUCAGGCACUUUAGUAACUAUAACUUGAUUAUUUAUACAAUUACACAUAUGAAUGAUUAACUAUUAAGUGAAACAGGUUUCGUGAAACAUUUAAUAUUUUCCAAUUUUAAGACAUGUGAUGGGACAUAAAUUGCCUCAGGCAAAAGCCUGUGUUAUGGUUUCUCUAUAGAAACAUUUCAAUUAUUAAUUGUUUUCUCUCAUCUUCACAAUAUAUAACAAAACAGCCAAUUUUCCCUCAAUUUCCAUUUAUUAGCUCACCUUCUGUCAUUCUGACAAUCUAGUGAACUCCAGUAUUUAGGAAUAUAUAAAGCAGUUUAUAAUAAAGACUUCUUGAUAUUUGAUAUUAAAAAUAACGUUUCUAUUUUAAUAACAGGUCUUGGGAAUUAAGAAUGGCACCCAAUGGCUUCAUGACACCACUGUGUAUUCAACAGGAAUAAGCUGUGUUGACAAGAAAGGUUAGCGCUGGAAAAGUUUCUCUUCCCACUGACAUGGAAAAGUGGGAUAGAUCUCGGAGAAGCGUUGACGUUCCCAUCCAGAAGAAUUCCAGCACCCCCUAAUGUCACAAUGGAGUUACUGAAGUACUCAACUCACAACAGCACAACAGUUUAAAAGCAAAAAAACAGCCAAGAGGCAAAAGAAUGGGCUGUAAUAUUUUUAAACAGUAAUUACCUGGCCGGGAUCCGACAGAGGGGGAUUAAUGGAGGAACGCGGAGCAUCAGGUUCCAGAGAUGUGUGCUGGAAGGUACGAUGAGGGAGAGACGCGCUUCUCCGUCACACUCGGGAAAU